This 69-nucleotide transfer RNA is filed under the name Ictidomys tridecemlineatus (thirteen-lined ground squirrel). RNAcentral's name for it is "Spermophilus tridecemlineatus (thirteen-lined ground squirrel) tRNA". It matches the Rfam family "tRNA". Rfam says of the family: Transfer RNA (tRNA) molecules are approximately 80 nucleotides in length. Their secondary structure includes four short double-helical elements and three loops (D, anti-codon, and T loops). Further hydrogen bonds mediate the characteristic L-shaped molecular structure. tRNAs have two regions of fundamental functional importance: the anti-codon, which is responsible for specific mRNA codon recognition, and the 3' end, to which the tRNAs corresponding amino acid is attached (by aminoacyl-tRNA synthetases). tRNAs cope with the degeneracy of the genetic code in two manners: having more than one tRNA (with a specific anti-codon) for a particular amino acid; and 'wobble' base-pairing, i.e. permitting non-standard base-pairing at the 3rd anti-codon position. Lineage: Eukaryota; Metazoa; Chordata; Mammalia; Rodentia; Sciuridae. The record is from Rfam by way of RNAcentral.
GGGGUUGUGGCUCAGUGGCAGAGCGCUUGCCUGGCAUGUAUGAGGCACUGGGUUCAAUCCUCAGUACCG